ACUGCAAUUGGAUACCUGUCAGACUGAGUACAGAUGAGUUAGACGACUGUGUGGGUGUAGCGGUGAAUUGCUAGAUAUCACCACAGAAACACCGAUGCGAAGGCAGCUUACUAAACUGACACUGACGCUGAGGCACGAAAGUGUGGGGAUCAAACAGGAUUAGAUACCCUGGUAGUCCACCACUGUAAACGAUGAUUACUGGAUGUUUGCGAUACACUGUAAGCGUCUCAAGCGAAAGCAUUAAGUAAUCCACCUGGGGAGUACGUCGGCAACGAUGAAACUCAAAGGAAUUGACGGGGGCCCGCACAAGCGGAGGAACAUGUGGUUUAAUUCGAUGAUACGCGAGGAACCUUACCUGGGCUUAAAUGUAGAGUGCAUGAGGUAGAAAUACUUCUUUCCUUCGGGACUUUCUGCAAGGUGCUGCAUGGUUGUCGUCAGCUCGUGCCGUGAGGUGUCGGGUUAAGUCCCAUAACGAGCGCAACCCUUAUCGUUAGUUGCCAGCGGGUCAAGCCGGGAACUCUAACGAAACUGCCGGUGUAAACCGAGAGGAAGGUGGGGAUGACGUCAAAUCAGCACGGCCCUUAUGUCCAGGGCUACACACGUGUUACAAUGGCCGGUACAGAGGGCAGCUACCUGGAGACAGGAUGCGAAUCUCGAAAGCCGGUCUCAGUUCGGAUCGGAGUCUGCAACCCGA
This 694-nucleotide ribosomal RNA is filed under the name uncultured bacterium. RNAcentral's name for it is "bacterial SSU rRNA". It matches the Rfam family "Bacterial small subunit ribosomal RNA", at positions 619 to 1315 of the family's 1533-position model. The record is from RNAcentral.